This 1347-nucleotide long non-coding RNA is filed under the name Ficedula albicollis (Collared flycatcher). Its description in RNAcentral is "lncRNA (ENSFALG00000025973.1)". Lineage: Eukaryota; Metazoa; Chordata; Aves; Passeriformes; Muscicapidae. The record is from RNAcentral.
AUGGACAUAGGAUGGACACAGGGACACAGGGACACAGGGAUGGACACAGGGAUGGACACAGGGAUGGACACAGGGAUGGACACAGGGAUGGACACAGGGAUGGACACAGGGAUGGACACAGGGAUGGACACAGGGAUGGACACAGGGAUGGACACAGGGAUGGACACAGGGAGGGACACAGGGAGGGACACAGGGAUGGACAGACACAGGGACGGACCCAGGGAGGGACACAGGGAUGGACACAGGGAGGGACACAGGGAUGGACAGACACAGGGACGGACCCAGGGAGGGACACAGGGAUGGACACAGGGAGGGACACAGGGAUGGACAGACACAGGGACGGACCCAGGGAGGGACACAGGGAUGGACACAGGGAGGGACACAGGGAUGGACAGACACAGGGACGGACCCAGGGAGGGACACAGGGAUGGACACAGGGAGGGACACAGGGAUGGACAGACACAGGGACGGACCCAGGGAGGGACACAGGGAUGGACACAGGGAGGGACACAGGGAUGGACAGACACAGGGACGGACCCAGGGAGGGACACAGGGAUGGACACAGGGAGGGACACAGGGAUGGACAGACACAGGGACGGACCCAGGGAGGGACACAGGGAUGGACACAGGGAGGGACACAGGGAUGGACAGACACAGGGACGGACCCAGGGAGGGACACAGGGAUGGACACAGGGAGGGACACAGGGAUGGACAGACACAGGGACGGACCCAGGGAGGGACACAGGGAUGGACACAGGGAGGGACACAGGGAUGGACAGACACAGGGACGGACCCAGGGAGGGACACAGGGAUGGACACAGGGAGGGACACAGGGAUGGACAGACACAGGGACGGACCCAGGGAGGGACACAGGGAUGGACACAGGGGUGGACACAGGGAUGGACAGACACAGGGACGGACCCAGGGAGGGACACAGGGAUGGACACAGGGGUGAACACAGGGAUGGACAGACACAGGGACGGACAGAGGGAGGGACACAGGAUGGACACAGGGAUGGACACAGGGAUGGACACAGGGAGGGACACAGGGAGGGACACAGGGAGGGACAGACACAGGGACGGACACAGGGAUGGACAGACACAGGGAGGCAGGGACAGACCCCAGCACAGCCCCAGGCUGUCUGCACUGAGGCGCCGAGCAGAGGCUCUAAGGAGCGCAGGGGAAGCGGGAUUUCCGUGCCAGGAGCUGUCUGAGAGCCGAGGCUGGAAGGGCUGGGCAGGCUCCAGCAGCAGAGGCUGCAGCUCCGCUGGGCCCCAGGGACAGCACUGCUGCUCCCGAGCACACGGGCAGCAGCAAACACCCUGCCUCACCAAAAUUAAGACUUGA